ACAUGAGAAAUGCAAACUCUCUUCUCUUACGGAGCAGGUUUCUUCUCUCCAAAUCGUGAUGAGAGCCAGUUCAUGUUGCAUCACUUGCCCAGGUGACACAUCAAAAUGCCUUUCCCACUGGGACCUUCAGACCUCUCUGUUAUGCAGAAAGCACGGGACUCUGUGUUGAGCGUCUUUCGUCUCUCCAGCCUCCCAUAUCCCCACUUGCCAUAAAUGAACUGUGAGUCAACAAGUACACAGGGCAUUCGCCUGUGUCCAGAGACAGAGCUUGAGGUGCUUUGGGGGCCCCAGGAGACAACUGCAACAGUGUCUGUUGGACUGUCAUGCAUAAUGGAUCACCUAGGGAUCUGGCUACAAAGCAGGCUCUGAUUCAAGAGGGCCAGGGUGGCCUAAGAAUCUGCAUUUAUAACACCCGGCCAGGUAAUUUCGUUGUUACUGGACAAUGAACCACACUUUACAUAGCAAGAAACUAGAGAACAGCAUGAAACAAAGGUGACCUACCAAUCAAGUCUUAAAUAGGGAGGUGAUUGCAGUGAAUGACUGGGGAGGAGUGGGCGAUCAUGUCAGGCAGGGACACCCAGGUUAACCUCUAGGCCAAGUUCAAGGGAAGGGCAGGCUCCACAGGAUGCUACCAGCUCUCUAAGGCCCUGGACACUCUCCUUUCCCUACUGAGUGACUCACUCUUUCCUAUCAGCUGUGCACCCAAAACCGGGUGUUUGUACAGCCUCCAGACCAAUUUCUCACACAACAGAUCCUGACUGCUGUGUUUUGUAUCUAAGCCUGACAGCCCCCUCAAUUGCUGGUCUGGCUUUGGUGUUUGCUGUUCUGAAUUGUGCAACCACAAGGGAGAGAGAACUUGAGCCCUUAUGAUGUGAAGGGGCUAAGGGGCUUCUUUAGUUCCAGUCUCAGGUACACAGGCAUCUCUAGAGCAAGGGAGCUUCCAAAGCUUGGCUUGAGUGCCCUGGGCUUCUGCCAUCCACCCUGUCUGGAUGUUCCAGAGUAGCCUGUCUUCAGUUCAAUAAAAAUGAAAGCUACUUUUAGCUUAAGCUCAAGAUGCUCAUCCAUAUGGUCCUGAUUGAAUUCCUAUAAAUCUUCUGAAGUCCCCCAGAAGAGGAGGGGGUUCCACACCUCAUUAUAUCCAAUUAAACUCACUCAGAAGCUAGUGAUCCCCCCAUUUUUAUGAGGUUUUGAUUUGCAUUUCCAUGGGUAGCUGUUGGUGUUUGGGGGCAGAGCCUGUCUCUGUAUGCAGCACCUGCUCACACUCACACAGCUCAGAGUCAGGUACCAAGGGUUGCCUGUUUAGACUAACACACUGCCUCUUCACCACAUUCCUGCGAGAUAAAUACCAUCAUCCUUAUUAUUACCAUCCCAUUUUACAGAGGAGGAAACUAGGCACGGAGAGAUUAAGUAGCGUGCUCCAAGUCUCAUAGCUAGUAAGCAGCAGAGCCAAAAUCAGAAUCCAGCUCCGGAGCGCUCUUCACCUCUCUGCCUGACUGCUUGCUACCUCCAUGUGAUUUUCCAGUGGUGCUCGGAGGCCACGUAGGACUGUGCCAGGGGCUGUCUGGAGGAUGCAGGAAGGGGAAGUGUAGCAAAUGGGGCCUCGGUGGAAAGCUGGGGGGUGGGGGAGGGUCAGAAGCAAAACUUCUCUAUUUUCUGCCUAAGUUUGGAACCAACUGAGGUAUGGAAAGAGGUUUUAGGCAAAGGAAAUAAAAUUUUCUCUUAUCUUACUGGUAAAGCUGUUUGAAAAAUAGAGUCCCCAUCUGAUCACAUGGGCUUGCUAUGCUAAUACUUCACCCAGAAUGGGACAAUUGCAGGGGGGUGGCAGAUGCCAUCGGGGCUGGCCCGCGGCCCACAUGUGCUCAAUUCCUUCCUCCAAGACUGGGUCUGAUACAGUGUAGACAGCAGGAGAUGGAGAGUGACUUAGAUGCAGCGGUUGGCCAGUGGGGCCCACCGGGAUCACUUGGGGGGCUUUGAAAACUGUUGCUGCCUGGGUCCCACACCUAGAAAUUCUCAUUCGCUUGGUUUGCUUUGGGAUGCAGCCUGGGUUUGAGGAUAUUUUUUUCAGGCUCCCCAGGUGAUUGUCACGUAAAGCCAGUAUUGGGAACCACCACCAGUAGAAGUUCCCCACAAGGACAUGAGAGGAAAGGGGCACCUGCUUCCACUGCAACAAUUAGCCCUGCUCACAUUGAUCUCUGUUAUCUAUUGAGGAUUCACAGGAGAAUGUGAAGGAAGGGCCUGCAUCUUAAAGCUAGAAACCACUGCUCUAAACCAUGUAGACUAGCUGCCUGGAGUGUGCCCCUUUAUCACAUCCAGCCACUAAAAGGUUGAGUCAGCCAAGAGAAGACCGGGGGAAGAGAGGAGAGGUAGGUGAGCCUAGGGCUGGCAUCACUAGCGUAUAUGUCUGUAUUCAAAAGCAAUGGCUUCAUGGCACUAUAGAAGUAGAAAGAACCUCAUGUGUGAAAAAGAAAUUGGUAAAGAGUAUCUGAGAAAAGAAGAAAAGAGAAAGAAGAAAAGGAAGCAAGGAAAGGAAAAUAAGGUUUAGCAGUCCUGGGCUAUGAUUCUUUGAUAAGGAAUUUUAUCAUGGUCUAGAUUCCUUUAACCCCUUACAGGGGAUACUCCAGAAAGUGACACAUUGUCGUUUCCCAAGCAAAUCCAGUGCUCCUGGAGUCCAGUCUUCUCCCUCUAGUCCAGAAAUCAAAUGCAUAGUGCCUGAAUUAAUUGCAGAAAAUAGAGUUCCUCAAUAUGUCCACGGCAUUAAGAUGCCAAGAGAAGCCAGGCAAGGUGGCUCACGCCUGUAAUCCCAGCACUUUGGGAGGCCGAAGCGGGUGGAUCACCUGAGGUCAGGAGUUCAAGACCAGCUUGAUCAACAUGGUGAAACCCUGUCUCUACUAAGAAUACAAAAAGUAGCCAGUGUGGUGGCAGGCACCUGUAACCCCAGCUACUCAGGACCCUGAGGCAGGAGAAUCGCUUGAAUCCAGGAGGCAGAGGUUGCAGUAAGCCAAGAUCAUACCACUGCACUCUAGCCUUGGUGACAGAGUAAGACUCCAGACUCCAUCUCAAAAAAAAAAAAAAAAAAAAAAAAGCCAAGAGGUAGAGAGAGAUUUCAUAGAGCCCAUUAUUUACCAUACACUAUCAAUAACCUUGAAAUUCCCUUGAAAGGCAUUUUUUUCUACUCCAUAUAGUUCAAUUUAGGUUCUUGGGUUUGCGUUUGAAAGGAUUCCAUCCCAGAGGCAGGAGAAGUUAACUUUUUCCCCACCUCUGGGGAUUUUAGACCUGGCGAGUUGAAGUUUACUGGAAGGCCCCUAAGGAGACCCUUCAAGAAGAAGUUGGCUGUGCAGAUGGCACUCAGGUGGGAGGGGGAAGAAAGAUGGUCUUCAAAACACAGAGACGUGUAGCAUAUGUGUUAGAUAUGGUUCUGGGGAGAACCAUAUUUAAGGGAGGAGCGGAGGAGAAACCUAUAAAGAAGACUCAGGAAGAACAGCCUGAAAUGGAAACCAGCAGAAUGUGGAAGGGGAAAGCAUUUCAAAGAGGAAGGAGCAGCCAGAGGUGUUAAAUGCUGCUCACAUGGAAAGAAACACGAGGACGAAAAAGUGCACAGCAAAGAUAAUAUUUCUGAAACGUGAAACCAAUGUAUGUCUGUUUCAUGCUCCAUAGAUCGUGUUCCCUGUAAUUUUCCCGCACCCGCGGAAUCAAUGGCACCAGUGGGUGCUCCUGAAGGUGCCUCUGAGGAAGACAGUAGGUGCCAUCCAGAACAAGGAAGUAGUUGCUUGAUUUUGAACUGUACGUUAGCAAGCUUUAUUAGGAGAGGAAAGAGUUUUCCUAAUUCCAAAAGCAGCUCCCCUUUGCAUAUGAAGAGCAGAGGGUUUGAGGCUCUAAGCCAUGGUGUAGACAGGAUGCAGGAAAUGACAGGGGGGCUGCUUCUGGGCUGUGGAAGAUGGGUGGAGGGGACAAAAUGAGAAGUGUCCUAUAUUCCUCCCCAAAACCUCCUGGUUUCUGGAUGCUUCCUCAAACUUUAAUCUCCCAGCUGCCUUUGUUCUCUAAGUCACUGGUUCUCAAACCUUGUGGGACCAAGGGCUGCAUGAGAAUCACCUAGGACCCUUGUUAAAAAUACAUAAUUUCAGCCACCUCAAGAUCUAUAUAGUCAGAAUUUCUAAGGGUAACUGAGAAUUCGCAUGUCACGAGUUCCCUGGAAAGAUUCUGCUGAGAGCCAGCGUGGAAAGCCCCGGCACAGUGAGUGUUCCUGUUGGUCCCCUCUCUGACCACCUCAGACCGACUACAUCUCCAGGCUCGAAGGACCUGGCCCCUGAACCCCCACCCUCCACUGCUUUAUUUUUCUCUGUGGAACUAUCACCAGCUAACAUUCCAUUUUGUUUACCUGUUUAUUGUAUGUCCCCUUCUGCUAGAUGGAUGCUUCAGGAGGACAAAGUCUUUUUGCUUUUUUCUUAUUUUCUUUAUGGUUAACUGCACACACUAGGUACAUAAUAGACAUUCAGGAACAAUUAAUGAAUGGAUGUAUGAAGAAUCAAAGAACCGAGAAGCUUUCUACCUAUUCUGCCUAAGGAUACAUGAUGAAACUAAGCUAAAAAAAUGAAAGGGAAAUAAUUCUAUCAAGAAAAAAUUAAAUAAGAGGAUACAGCAAACUGGCUUUUCCUUUAGAGAGUCACCAAUAUAUAUACACAUAUACGUAUACACAUACAAAAAGUCACAGACACAAAGAGGGAAAUGAGCCACAGUGUUAGGAGAUAGCUCAGAGACUCUGAGCCACAGAUACUCGGCUGUGGGUAUCUGAGUCAGUUUUCCUGGAAAUAGCUUUGAAAUACCAGCAUCUCUAGUCCUUUCUGAAUUUGUAAGUAGUCUUUGGACUUUUGUUAUCAAACAUCAGAGUUUAUUCUUGAAAUAAAAGUUUGUUUCCCCUUGGAAUUCUGAGGCUUUCUCCUUUAGAACCUUGGCAGCCUAAGUCCCUCUCUACCUGUGUCUUUAAGUAUGGUCAAUAUUCAAAAGCUUUGGAUGGCGUUGUCUUCGUUUAUGCGGAUAUUAGGUUGCCUCAGUCAACAAUGCUUGAAAAUGGCUUUAAAAUGAGCAUCAUAUCAUGAAGCCAUAUUUGUAUUUAAAUUAAAAUUGUUUUUUUUUUUUGGCCUAUGUCAUACCAGGGAUAAUAUAGAGCAACAGAGAACCAGGGAAAAUGUGAUUCAUGCAUCUCCAAGUCAGGAAAAAGAGACUAUUGGAAUCAUAGCCAGCGACAAACAAGUUAUUGGGAUUUAUAGAAAAGGAUGGCUGAGCAUUCCUGGAAAAACAACUGACUUUUUGUUGUUGUUGCUGUUGUUAGGGAAGAUUUUGUCUGCUUAACUGGCCAGAGUUUUCACUCCAUCCCCCGAAGAAUUGACGUUUUAAAAAGCACAACUGUAGAUUUAGAUUUUCACAGUCUUUUGCUAGAUUCUUUACCAAAGACUAUUAGUGAGUAGUAACCCUGGGAUUGUGUAAAACUUUAUUAAGGAUGAGGGAAUAAAUAGGUUUAAUUUCAGGAAAUAAAACUGGGGCUAAAUUAGUACUUCUCUGACGGAAAAUGUAUAAAUAAUGUGAUCCCCUGGGGACCCAGGUUAGCACUAGAUUUAUUUUUAAAUUUUAUAACUCAUCUGAAAGAGAGAGAACACAGUGGAAUCUAUAUAUUUGUAUAUUCCUCUAAGCUGUUCUGAUUUGAAAGAUAUUAAAUCAAUAGGAAUAACUUUCUGAGACUCUUGUAAGAUUGCAUAAGUCAGCACAAAAGUGGCAGGUAACCUUCAGUGUAAGCAAGAAUAAAAGAAUACAUUUAGGAGAAAGGCAUCUAAACUGUACUUAUAUGAUGAUGAAUUUCAAGCUAUGAAUUACUACCAGGGAAAAGGAUUUGAAAUAUGGAGGACCGAAAAGGCCCCAUAGUCAAAUAAUUUGGUGAAAUAUUACAAACUAUAUUCUUCAAGAUUCACCAUGUACCUGAGCAUAUGAAAGGCUUGAGAAAGGCCUGCAGUAAAGAAACCUGCUUAACUUUGUUUAUUCUGGGCUCAAAUAGGUUUUCAAAAGGAGAGAACGUGGGUUGUUAACUUCCUGGUUGGCUACUGAGAGAAAUGAGUCUCUUGAGCAAUUAUCCUUUGCAGGUAGCUUCCAUGAAGAACCCAGUUUUUGAGUGCCUCUAGCAGAGACUAAGCUUCAAACCUCAUUAACCAUGGAUCCAAUCCAAUAUGGCAGCUUGUAUGUUCUCCAUUCUCAAAGCCCAAUAUAAAUGAUGGGCUUUCUUCAUUCACCCAGAUAACUAAGAGCUGAUGGUACCCCAUUGAGCAGAUAUGGGAGACAAUGAAUCUUCAUAGAUGAGUGCCUAAGGAUAUAUGUGUCACUCAAGAGUAAAUGAACCAAUCAUGUUGCUAUGCAUAGGGACUCAGUUAAAGAAAAGUCAGAUAAAAUGGGAGGCUGGUAUCUCGCACAGCACUGAUCCGGCUCUCUGCCUAAUUUUUCACUUUUCAUCCAGAUGUUCCCCGUCAAGAAGGCACAGUCAAUAAUGUAUGAAUCUUAAAGGCAGAGGCAGAUGUGGUUAUUACUCCCUGUAGGCAUUUCCUGACUUGGAGACGACAUGUUACUCGAGAAUGACUACAAUUUUUAAAAAUUUAAGUUGAUAUAGCCCGCUUAUGAGUAAAUGCAUUUCAGUGCAAAAGUCUUUUCAGAAUUACAGUCAUCAUCACAGUUUAGUUUGGCCUUUAAAUUUUCACUGUAAACUCUCCAGAUGGUCACAUAUGGGGGCUUCUAAGGCAGAACACGCUUCCCAAUAACAUUAGAGCAAGCAGCCUUCUCUAGGAGGCAUCCAUUUCCAGCAGUCUAUUUUUAAUAUUUGCUUUUAUUUCUUAAUCCUCCUGAACAAUAAAAAUGAACGUCAUUAUAACCAAGUGUGGCUGUAGUCAUCAAUACUUCAGAGUCCAAAAAUACAUUGGCCUUGCCUGACCAGUUGCCCAUUUUCUGGAAUAGCUGGGUAUUUAUCUAGCAGCGAGAGACCAUUAUCCUGAGACACAGUCGUGUUCCACCGACACCUGAUCUACUAAUUAAAAUCACUAUCAUGAUGGACUGUUUAAAUUCUGGUUUAAAUGUUCCUUUUGCAUUUGCAUUUAAAAGAAAACACACUCCUCAUCAUGGGCACCCCAGCCUGGGUUAUAAUUUGGCUUUCCUUUGCCAGAAUUAUAAUGUCACUCUGACUUGCCGCUGGUUAAAUCUAAAAGAGCAUCUAAAUGUGCCUCACAGCUUGGCUGUUGCUUGGCAACGCCAGCAGCCACCUCCUCAUUGGGGUGACUUCUAAUUGGUCACAAGUCUUGACAGGAGCCACUGACUUAUUAGAAAUGACACUUGAUUAUUCACCUAGAUGGCUAGAGCUGAUACUUAGCAGCAGGAAAUUUUGCAUAAAAAGGAGUCGUGGAUGUUUUUAAUAUCUGGGUGGCUUUUAGCGAUGGUGUAGUGGAAGAAGGAAGUGAUAAGUUUCAUUAGUGGAAAUUAAUUUUUCAUUUGUUGGUCACCAGUUUAGAGCACUUUAAGGCAUUAAUUUUUUCAUUUUAAAAAAAAACCCAGAAAUACGUUUAAAUACCUUCCCCCACCCCCAGCAGCUGACCCUUACUUAUUCAGAAAACCCUCCUCUGACAUCAGCCCCAAAAUAUUGCCCCCAGGUCCACCAAGGGCCAAAUCAGAUGAAAUGUUCAAUUUAUAAAGGUCAACAAAUAUUUAUUAAUUAGUUCCUGUUGUUAAGGAGUUUAUAAUGUAGAAGAGAAACAAGGUACAUAAAUCACUGCAUUAUUACCAAUCGUGGAAGGUGGUGACAGAGCUGGGGUCCUGCUUUGAGCAUCAGAAGCCACUUUGGCAGGGAGGAAGCAGUGAGUAGCACCGGAAUUGAGCUCUGAAGAUUUUGCUGUUUUGACAGAGGGAGAAGGUGCAUUGCAGGUGGAAUGAGCUGCAGGAAUCAAGGCAUCUGGACAGAAAAGUACAGGGUCCCUAUGUAUUCUGAAGUUGAUGUGUCAAAGAAAUGACAAAAGGCUUUCUUGGGAAUGGGAUGUGUUGCUGAAAGCACAUGGACCAAUGAUCUGACACUUCCCUGCACUGAGCUAAGAAUUUGGCUGCUCUCUCCAUGGCUUCAAGCAACUGUCUCAACCUGAUGCUUUGUGACCUCCUUGGAAUCUUCAAAUGUCAGUGGAAAGGGACAUUAUAGCUCAUUGCGAUCAGCCCUUCAUUUAGGGAUGAGGACCCACGUUCAGAGAGAUUCAAAUGCCAGGUCCAAAGUAACACAUAGGACCAGCAUGAGUCUCAGCUUUCUUCUUCAGAGCCAGUUUUCAGCAAACCACACUGUAUUCAUGCUAAGAGACAGUGCCUCAAUCUGUUCAUGUUUCUUGGGUACCUUCUAUGUCAAGGCUCUCAAGGAACAUUUGAUCAAUCAGUCAUCACACAGGUAUUUCUAGAAAAUCAACAGAAUGGGGUGUGCUAUGCUCAUUCUUGAUAUAACAAAUACCAAAAACUUCAUUAAUCCAUGACAACAUGCAAUAGUUACCACAAAAGAGCAAUAUUGAGAGUGUAUUAGUUAUCUAUUGCUGUGUAACAAAAUUACCCCAAAACUUAGUGGCUUAAAACAAACUUUUGUUAGCUCAUUGUUUCUGUGGGUCAGGAAUCCUGGCAUGGCUUAGCUGAGUGCAAAGGCUGAGUCCAGAGGGACUGAGGGCUGAGGCCAGAGGGAUCAAGGUGUCUUGGAGUAGUAGUCAAAUGGCUGGCCUGAUCUGUGGUCUCAUCUGAAGGCUUGACUGGGGGAAGAUCUGCUUCUAAGCCUCAUCACACGGUUAUUAGCAGGAUUCAAUUCGUAAUGGACUUUGGAAGAUAAGAAUCUUGUACUGUGUCCUUCAGUCAGUGGGGAUCUACAAAUGUUUCAGCAAAGCAUUACUGAAAUAACAAGUAUUUUUGGAAGAUCUGGCCAGGCAUGGUGGCUCAUGCCUGUAAUCCCAGAACUUCAAGAGGCCAAGGUGGGAGGAUCGUUUGAACCCAGGAGUUCAAGACCAACUUGGGCAACAUAGGGAGACCCCGUUUCUACAAAACAUUAAAAAAAUUAGCCAGCUGUGGUUGUGUGUGUCUGUAGUCCCAGAUAUUAAUACUUGAGGGGCUGAAAUGGGAGGAUGGUUUGAGCCCAGGAGGGCAAGGAUGCAGUGAGCUGUAAUCAUGCCACUGCACUCCAGCCUGGGUGACAGAAUGAGAUCCUGUCUCAAAAGAAAAGAAAAGAGGCCAGGAAGCUCUUUCAAAGAACUUUCUUUAGUACACCUGGGUGUCAGGCACUAUCAAAGUCCUAAGACUACAAAGAUGCUUAGGCUAUAGUCUUUUUUCUCAAGAAGGAAGAUGACAACCAUAUUCCAGGUGACAAGUAGCAACACCUGAACUAGGAGGUGACUGAGGAGAUAAAUAUGAAAGAACAGAUGAAAGAAAGGAAGCAAUGUUAACAUGAUGAGGCAAGAACAGAUGGCUCCAAUGGGGAGUUGUCCCUGAGGAACAAGAAAAGAGAAGAGAAUGAUUCCAGUAGUCCAAACCAGCCUGGGAGGACGGAUCCCUCCAGAGGACAACUACCAUGUUUACACCACUCCCUGCUUUCUGUGCCAAGUGUUUUGCAUAUUUUGUUUCUAAUCUUUGUCACGACUCUUCAAGGGAGGUAUUAUUUUCAUUUUUGCAGAUGAGGAACUAGACUCAGUGAGGUUAGGCAAUGUACCCAAGAUCACACAGCUAUAAAGUGCCAGGGGAAGGAAACCUACUAAUUUGCAGUGCCUUUGAGUAUUUGCUAUGCUUGGGGCAAGUAUUCUCCAACAAGGUCGGAAUCUUACACUCAAGGAAGGAAACUCAGUGAUGAGAUUCUGUGAGUCACCCAAAAGGAGAGGAGAAGAAGACCUUUGAGCAGAAGCUCUCAGCCCUUCUUGGUCGUUACUCUCUUUGCCCACUCAUCAGGCCCUCCCUCCUUUUAGAAUUCACUCUGUUGCCCUCUGUCUGCACCUUGACUCAAAAUUUCACAGACACAGUUGGUAGAAAA
This is a long non-coding RNA of Homo sapiens (human), 10054 nucleotides long. RefSeq lists it as uncharacterized. The record is from RefSeq and is a predicted model, not a curated record. NCBI's taxonomy places the organism in Eukaryota, Metazoa, Chordata, Mammalia, Primates, Hominidae. The transcript is spliced from 2 exons.